CUGGCGGCGUGCCUAAUACAUGCAAGUCGAACGCACUCUCGUUUAGAUUGAAGGAGCUUGCUCCUGAUUGAUAAACAUUUGAGUGAGUGGCGGACGGGUGAGUAACACGUGGGUAACCUGCCCUAAAGUGGGGAUAACAUUUGGAAACAGAUGCUAAUACCGCAUAAAACCUAACACCGCAUGGUGUAGGGUUGAAAGAUGGUUUCGGCUAUCACUUUAGGAUGGACCCGCGGUGCAUUAGUUAGUUGGUGAGGUAAAGGCUCACCAAGACCGUGAUGCAUAGCCGACCUGAGAGGUAAUCGGCCACACUGGGGCUGAGACACGGCCCAGACUCCUACGGGAGGCAGCAGUAGGGAAUCUUCCACAAUGGACGAAAGUCUGAUGGAGCAACGCCGCGUGAGUGAAGAAGGUUUUCGGAUCGUAAAACUCUGUUGUUGGAGAAGAAUGUAUCUGAUAGUAACUGAUCAGGUAGUGACGGUAUCCAACCAGAAAGCCACGGCUAACUACGUG
This 510-nucleotide ribosomal RNA is filed under the name uncultured bacterium. RNAcentral describes it as "bacterial SSU rRNA". It matches the Rfam family "Bacterial small subunit ribosomal RNA", at positions 36 to 507 of the family's 1533-position model. The record is from RNAcentral.